Molecule: ribosomal RNA, 426 nt
Filed under: uncultured Gammaproteobacteria bacterium
Lineage: Bacteria; Pseudomonadati; Pseudomonadota; Gammaproteobacteria
Description: bacterial SSU rRNA
Rfam family: Bacterial small subunit ribosomal RNA
Source: RNAcentral
GGGGAAUAUUGGACAAUGGGCGCAAGCCUGAUCCAGCCAUACCGCGUGGGUGAAGAAGGCCUUCGGGUUGUAAAGCCCUUUUGUUGGGAAAGAAAUCCAGCUGGCUAAUACCCGGUUGGGAUGACGGUACCCAAAGAAUAAGCACCGGCUAACUUCGUGCCAGCAGCCGCGGUAAUACGAAGGGUGCAAGCGUUACUCGGAAUUACUGGGCGUAAAGCGUGCGUAGGUGGUCGUUUAAGUCCGUUGUGAAAGCCCUGGGCUCAACCUGGGAACUGCAUCCAAAACUACUGAGCUAGAGUACGGUAGAGGGUGGUGGAAUUUCCUGUGUAGCGGUGAAAUGCGUAGAUAUAGGAAGGAACACCAGUGGCGAAGGCGACCACCUGGACUGAUACUGACACUGAGGUGCGAAAGCGUGGGGAGCAAACA